This 440-nucleotide ribosomal RNA is filed under the name uncultured bacterium. RNAcentral describes it as "partial 16S ribosomal RNA". It matches the Rfam family "Bacterial small subunit ribosomal RNA", at positions 338 to 795 of the family's 1533-position model. The record is from RNAcentral.
CCUACGGGAGGCAGCAGUGGGGAAUAUUGCACAAUGGGGGAAACCCUGAUGCAGCGACGCCGCGUGAGUGAAGAAGUAAUUCGUUAUGUAAAGCUCUAUCAGCAGGGAAGAACAUGACGGUAUCUGAGUUAGAAGACCCGGCUAACUACGCGCCAGCAGCAGCGGUAAUACGUAGGGGGCACGAGUUAUACGGAUUUACUGGGUGUAAAGGGAGCGUAGACGGCAGGGCAAGUCUGGAGUGAAAGGCGGGGGCUCAACCCCCGGACUGCUCUUGAAACUGUACGGCUGGAGUGCAGGAGAGGUAAGUGGAAUUCCUGGUGUAGCGGUGAAAUGCGUAGAUAUUAGGAGGAACACCAGUGGCGAAGGCGGCUGACUGGACUGUAACUGACGGUGAGGCGCGAAAGCGUGGGGAGCAAACAGGAUUAGAUACCCGUGUAGUC